CUGUUUGAGCCCGGAAGCGCAGAAGCUGGCGGAGGCCCGGCUCGCUGCAAAACGGGCGGCCCGCGCGGAGGCUCGCGAGAUCCGCAUGAAGGAGCUGGAGCGGCAGCAGAAGGAGAUCUAUCAGGUCCAAAAGAAGUAUUAUGGGCUGGAUACAAAAUGGGGUGACAUCGAGCAGUGGAUGGAAGACAGUGAGCGCUACUCUCGUAGAUCCAGAAGAAACACAUCGGCUUCUGAUGAAGACGAGCGCAUGUCAGUGGGUAGUCGUGGAAGCCUGAGGCCCUCCUGUCUGUACAGCACUGCCCGGCCUUCGGGGAGUUACCGGGCGUCUGUGUUGGAUGAAGGCAGCUUCAGUGGGGCCCGACGGGGCAGCACCUGCGGCUCCCGUGCUCACGCCAACAAUACUAACAGGUCGUGAAAUCGUCUUCAAUUAAUAAAAACAGAAAAAGGGCAAUUUGACAGGCCACACAUCAUUCUCG
RNAcentral lists this small RNA (476 nucleotides) under Pongo abelii (Sumatran orangutan). RNAcentral's name for it is "processed transcript". Lineage: Eukaryota; Metazoa; Chordata; Mammalia; Primates; Hominidae. The record is from RNAcentral.